CUGAACUCCUCUUAAACUGCAAUUUUGAAAUGCAGCUAGAGAACAGACACAGGUCAGGUCUUAACCUUCAGGUCUGGUGAGCAAUUAACACUGAUACAGCAAUUUUCAACAGGAAACCUAAAGUAAAGUAAGUGGUGGCAGAGCUCUGACCCUCAGCUGCAACAAAUGAACUAACUCCAGCCUUCAGAGAGAGAACGACUUAUUUUCAGCCUGGACUCUCUUCACUCUACCAGCCUGAAGCUCAUCUGUACAACCACGUGGCAACUGGUGUUGGGGUUCUUGCUUGAGGCUCUUCUACUGCUGAUCAUCUCUCUCUCAGUUUAAGACCAAGAAUGUUGGCUUACCAUAUCCACAAGCUAAACAUGUUCUCACCUAGCCUCGUUUCGCCUGAGGUGCAGGAGGAGAGGGUCAUCUCAGCACUUGGAUGCCCCCUGAGCUGUUAGCCCAUCACCUGGGUGACAGGUCACCGCAGGAGCCUCUGCUUCCGCUGCAGAUGCUGAACCCUUGUCUCCAGUGUCUUCUCCUCACCUCUGCCCCUGGGGUCAUCACCUUUAACCUCACCUGUACUCAACUGGGGUCAAACUGAGGGUCAGGCUGGGUCAGGUCUAGGCAGGAGGUCAUACAGGCAGUCUAUAAUGAGUUCCUUCACAGUGGGUAAAGUCUUUAUACCUAUAGUAGCGAGAGAAAGUAAGAAGGAAAGAGUUUUAGACUUUUUCUAUUGGCCUUGGCCAACACCAGCACCUCUACCACUCUACCAGCAACAGCAGCAGCAGCAAAAGUAGCAGCCCAGGCUAGUUAACACGGAGACAUUGGAGAUAAGAAAGUAUGUUUGCAAAUAAAAGAGACUGAGAGAAUCAGAGACAGUUUUGCUCACCAGCUCCAUCAAUGGGAGAAAGACAACAAAAAGAAAAGAAGAGAGAUGGACUCCAGAAGCCUGAAGCUCUGGAGCUGCAGUUGGAGGCAGAAAGCGCUCCCUGGCUAACUAAAGGAAGAUGGAGUGCAUGGCGCUACUGUACAUCCCCACAGCCAGUAAAGGAAGAGGUGAUGGAGAGAGAGAAGUAGAGGAAGGGCAAGAGGUUAGAUGCUUCAACCCUGGGUGAAAUUUAGUGGAGAAGAGAAGACUCAUCGUAGAUUUCAAUGGAAGGUAAUGUAAAAAUAUUUGAUUAUAUAUUUAUUACUUAACUUUUUAUGGAAGCUUGCUCUUAUAGCCUACAACACUAUUGAUUUGUAUUGGUCCAUACCCAUAAAACAUUUUAAAACUAUCUAUUAUGACUUAAUGCUAUAUUCAAAAGUAAAAGAAAAGGUCAAAAAGAUUGUGUGUGAUAGCAAUUGCAUUAUAUUAUUGUAUUAUCAUACCAAACAAUAAACCAAUUAAUGCAAUACCUAAGCA
RNAcentral lists this long non-coding RNA (1390 nucleotides) under Astyanax mexicanus (Mexican tetra). Its description in RNAcentral is "lncRNA (ENSAMXG00005023503.1)". Lineage: Eukaryota; Metazoa; Chordata; Actinopteri; Characiformes; Acestrorhamphidae. The record is from RNAcentral.